CUCCUGCCCCGUGUGAGCACCCCAAAACUGGGGCGGGACACCCAGGCAGUGGGGGGACCCCAAAAUCGGGGGGGGGGGGGGGGCGCGCAGGCAGCUGUGGGACACCCCAACAGCAGGGCAGGCACCGAGACCUAAGAGGGACCCCGAAAUCUGCAGGGGGAUCGCGGGUGUUGGGGACACCCCAAGAGGUUCAGGAACACCUCCCCCAAACCCCGUGGGGGGCACCCCAAAACCGGGGCGGGGACCUUCAGCCCGUGGGUGCAGCAGGACCCCGUUCCCAGUCUGGGGUGCACUGGGGGGCUACUGGGGGGUACCCCGAGUCUCGGGGGGGCCCCCCGUGACCCCGAUUUUGGGGUGCAGGACCUCAAACCAGCCAAUCUGCUGCUGGACAGCGCCGGGCGCCUCAAGCUGGCGGAUUUUGGGCUGGCGCGGGUGCUGGGCCCCCCCCCGGGGCGCCCCUACAGCCACCAGGUGGCCACCAGGUGGUACCGAGCCCCCGAGCUGCUCUACGGCGCCCGGCACUACGACGAGGGCGUGGAUCUGUGGGCCGUGGGCUGCAUUUUUGGGGAGCUGCUGACCCUGUCCCCGCUGUUCCCGGGGGAGAACGACAUCGAGCAGCUCUGCUGCGUGCUCAGGGGCCUGGGCACCCCCAGCCCCCGCGACUGGCCGGAGCUGGCGGAGCUGCCGGACUUCCCGAAGCUGCGGUUCCGGCCGCAGCCGCCGCCGCCGCUGGAGCUGCUGGUGCCGGGCGCCGACGCGGCCGCGCUGGACCUGCUGCGGCGGCUGCUGCGCUACCGCGCCCGCCUGCGGCCCCGGGCACACCAGGUCAGGGCAGGGGGGCACUGGGGGGACUUGGGGGGUCCUGGGGGGCAUUGGGGGGUCCCAGAGGGGCUUGGGGGGGUCCCAGGGUGCCCCUGAUGGAGCCCCGGAUCAGCCCCGCUGCGGUGCCCGCUGCAGCUCCUGGCACACUGGGUGAGGGCAGGGGGGCACUGGGGGGUCCUGGGGGGGGGGGGUUUGGGGGGUCCCAGAGGGGUUUGGGGUUCCGGGGUGCUCCUGGCUGGAGCCCCCCAUCAGCCCUGCUCAGGUACCAGGUGAGACCCUGGGCGGGUUUGGGGAGAUUUGAGGGGAUUUGGGGGGUCUGGGGGUCCCAGGAGGCCGGGGGGGUUCAGGGGAGGGGCCCCGGUGGGUUUGGGGGGGUCCCAGAGAUUUGGGGGUCCCAGAGGUACCAGGAGGUUCUGAGGUGUGUUUGGGGGGGGGGGGGGUCUCAGGGAUUGGCGGCCCCAGGACCCUCGCUGGGGGGGGUCACUCAGUUCCCCCUCCUUUCCCCAUUUUGGGGGGAGGUCCUGCCGCCCCCUGAGCGCUCCCCUCCCCCCAGGCCCUGCUGCACCCCUUCUUCUUCGGCCCCCAGGAGCUGACCCCGCCCCCGCCCCCGGGGGGGCCCCGGCAGCCCCCCGACUUCAGCCUGGACACAGCCCUGGAGCUGCCCCCCCGCGCGGCCCUGAGACCCCUCCCCGUGCUGGGAGACCCCCGGGAGACCCCCACUGACCCCCCCGUAAUGGGGGACCCCCUGGGAGACCCCCACUGACCCCCACUGACCCCCCCAUAAUGGGGGACCCCCGGGAGACCCCCACUGACCCCCACUGACCCCCCUGUAAUGGGGGACCCCCACUGACCCCCCCUUGCUGGGAGACCCCCACUGACCCCCCCAUAAUGGGGGACUCCCACUGACCCCCACUGACCCCCCUGUAAUGGGGGACCCCCUGGGAGACCCCCACUGACCCCCACUGACCCCUCCAUGCUGGGGGACCCCCACUGACCCCCCCAU
Corvus moneduloides (New Caledonian crow) is the source of this 1825-nucleotide long non-coding RNA. The record is from Ensembl. Lineage: Eukaryota; Metazoa; Chordata; Aves; Passeriformes; Corvidae.